AAGAAACCAACAGGGAUUGCUCUAGUAACGGCGAGUGAAGCAGCAAUAGCUCAAAUUUGAAAUCUGGCGUCUUCGACGUCCGAGUUGUAAUUUGUAGAGGAUGCUUCUGAGUGGCCACCGACCUAAGUUCCUUGGAACAGGACGUCAUAGAGGGUGAGAAUCCCGUAUGCGGUCGGAAAGGCGCUCUAUACGUAGCUCCUUCGACGAGUCGAGUUGUUUGGGAAUGCAGCUCUAAAUGGGAGGUAAAUUUCUUCUAAAGCUAAAUAUUGGCCAGAGACCGAUAGCGCACAAGUAGAGUGAUCGAAAGAUGAAAAGCACUUUGGAAAGAGAGUUAAAAAGCACGUGAAAUUGUUAAAAGGGAAGGGAUUGCAACCAGACUUGCUCGCGGUGUUCCGCCGGUCUUCUGACCGGUCUACUCGCCGCGUUGCAGGCCAGCAUCGUCUGGUGCCGCUGGAUAAGACUUGAGGAAUGUAGCUCCCUCGGGAGUGUUAUAGCCUCUUGUGAUGCAGCGAGCGCCGGGCGAGGUCCGCGCUUCGGCUAGGAUGCUGGCGUAAUGGUCGUAAUCCGCCCGUCUUGAAACACGGACCAAGGAGUCUAACAUCUAUGCGAGUGUUCGGGUGUCAAACCCCUACGCGUAAUGAAAGUGAACGGAGGUGAGAACCGCAAGGUGCAUCAUCGACCGAUCCUGAUGUCUUCGGAUGGAUUUGAGUAAGAGCAUAGCUGUUGGGACCCGAAAGAUGGUGAACUAUGCCUGAAUAGGGUGAAGCCAGAGGAAACUCUGGUGGAGGCUCGCAGCGGUUCUGACGUGCAAAUCGAUCGUCAAAUUUGGGUAUAGGGCGAAAGACUAA
This 848-nucleotide ribosomal RNA is filed under the name Cladosporium limoniforme. Its description in RNAcentral is "LSU rRNA". It matches the Rfam family "Eukaryotic large subunit ribosomal RNA", at positions 59 to 934 of the family's 3401-position model. The record is from RNAcentral. Lineage: Eukaryota; Fungi; Ascomycota; Dothideomycetes; Cladosporiales; Cladosporiaceae.